This 720-nucleotide ribosomal RNA is filed under the name Vibrio fluvialis. RNAcentral's name for it is "bacterial SSU rRNA". It matches the Rfam family "Bacterial small subunit ribosomal RNA", at positions 330 to 1042 of the family's 1533-position model. Lineage: Bacteria; Pseudomonadati; Pseudomonadota; Gammaproteobacteria; Vibrionales; Vibrionaceae. The record is from RNAcentral.
UCCAGACUCCUACGGGAGGCAGCAGUGGGGAAUAUUGCACAAUGGGCGCAAGCCUGAUGCAGCCAUGCCGCGUGUAUGAAGAAGGCCUUCGGGUUGUAAAGUACUUUCAGCAGUGAGGAAGGAGGUAUCGUUAAUAGCGGUAUCUUUUGACGUUAGCUGCAGAAGAAGCACCGGCUAACUCCGUGCCAGCAGCCGCGGUAAUACGGAGGGUGCGAGCGUUAAUCGGAAUUACUGGGCGUAAAGCGCAUGCAGGUGGUUUGUUAAGUCAGAUGUGAAAGCCCGGGGCUCAACCUCGGAAUUGCAUUUGAAACUGGCAGGCUAGAGUACUGUAGAGGGGGGUAGAAUUUCAGGUGUAGCGGUGAAAUGCGUAGAGAUCUGAAGGAAUACCGGUGGCGAAGGCGGCCCCCUGGACAGAUACUGACACUCAGAUGCGAAAGCGUGGGGAGCAAACAGGAUUAGAUACCCUGGUAGUCCACGCCGUAAACGAUGUCUACUUGGAGGUUGUGGCCUUGAGCCGUGGCUUUCGGAGCUAACGCGUUAAGUAGACCGCCUGGGGAGUACGGUCGCAAGAUUAAAACUCAAAUGAAUUGACGGGGGCCCGCACAAGCGGUGGAGCAUGUGGUUUAAUUCGAUGCAACGCGAAGAACCUUACCUACUCUUGACAUCCAGAGAACUUAGCAGAGAUGCUUUGGUGCCUUCGGGAACUCUGAGACAGGUGCU